GUACACCUUCCACCGUUAACACAUAUACUAAAAUUGGAAUGAUACAGAGAAGAUUAACAUGCUCCUUGCACAAGGAUAACAUGCAAAUUUGUGAAGUGUUUCAUUUAAAA
This 110-nucleotide small nuclear RNA is filed under the name Homo sapiens (human). Lineage: Eukaryota; Metazoa; Chordata; Mammalia; Primates; Hominidae. The record is from RNAcentral.